Molecule: transfer RNA, 50 nt
Filed under: Fuirena ciliaris
Lineage: Eukaryota; Viridiplantae; Streptophyta; Magnoliopsida; Poales; Cyperaceae
Description: partial tRNA-Leu
Source: RNAcentral
AAAAUCCCUUGAUUUUUUAAAUCCUGAGGGGUCAAAUCCCUCUAUCCCCA